Molecule: non-coding RNA, 336 nt
Organism: Theobroma cacao (cacao)
Lineage: Eukaryota; Viridiplantae; Streptophyta; Magnoliopsida; Malvales; Malvaceae
Source: RefSeq, a predicted model, not a curated record
GUUUAUGAUAAAUUGACACAAUUUAUUGAAAUUCGUGUCACGUAUGAUGUAUAGGUGGUGAGCCCUCUAAUAAGGAUAAAGAGAUUGUGCUCGAAAAUCGGGAAUAAGAGUAUAUCGAACUCCUAGUAUAGCUUAGGAUAGUGUGUAGAUAGCUAAUAUCAUCAAAGGCUAUAGUCGACUUUACUACUCCAAAAACUGCAAGUUUACUGCCUUUGUGCACUUUUGUUUCUUGUGGGCCCACGAGUCACUGUAAAGUAAAUUUCAUAUCCUGGUUAUCUGUAUUGUAGUACGUAUGAUUUUAUUUAGCUUUUACAUUACAAAAAAAAUUAUUAAUUA